CCUACGGGGAGCAGCAGUGGUGAAUAUUGCACAAUGGGGGAAACCCUGAUGCAGCGACGCCGCGUGAGUGAAGAAGUAUUUCGGUAUGUAAAGCUCUAUCAGCAGGGAAGAAAAUGACGGUACCUGAUUAAGAAGCCCCGGCUAACUACGUGCCAGCCGCCGCGGUAAUACGGAGGGGGAAAGCGUUAUCCGGAUUGACUGGGAGUAAAGGGAGCGUAGACGGCAGCACAAGCCUGGAGUGAAAUGCCGGGGCUUAACCCCGGAACUGCUUUGGAGACUGUGCAGCUAGAGUGCAGGAGAGGUAAGUGGAAUUCCUGGUGUAGCGGUGAAAUGCGUAGAUAUUAGGAGGAACACCAGUGGCGAAGGCGGGUUACUGGACUGUAACUGACGUUGAGGCUCGAAAGCGUGGGGAGCAAACAGGAUUAGAUACCCGAGUAGUC
This 440-nucleotide ribosomal RNA is filed under the name uncultured bacterium. RNAcentral's name for it is "partial 16S ribosomal RNA". It matches the Rfam family "Bacterial small subunit ribosomal RNA", at positions 338 to 795 of the family's 1533-position model. The record is from RNAcentral.